Long non-coding RNA from Siniperca chuatsi (mandarin fish), 4816 nucleotides. RefSeq lists it as uncharacterized. The record is from RefSeq and is a predicted model, not a curated record. NCBI's taxonomy places the organism in Eukaryota, Metazoa, Chordata, Actinopteri, Centrarchiformes, Sinipercidae. The transcript has 3 exons.
GCUAUGUUCGACCUCUGACCAGUAUUACUCAUCAUUGCCGUAAGGGAUUAAGCUUUCAGCGGGGAUGCACACAGGAAAGACGUACAUGAGCAGACAUAUGGUAGCAAUUGCUAUUGUAUGUUUUCAAUGAGGACACUGACAAGCUGGACAUAGAAGUCAAUUCAGUGCAUUUACAAAUAACAAGACAGCUCCACAUGGUAUGAUGAAACCACAAAAAUAAUGCCUCCAUUCUCAGACUGAGAGAUAGUGAAAUCCUGGCCUGUGGAGGUGCGAGACUGUGAAUGAACAUCGUGGCUGACUCAAAGGUCACAGCACAGGAUUAAUUAGACCACAACCAGGAGAGGGAAUGUGAUCGUCUCUCCACCCAGGCAGAUGCUGUGCAGCUGCCUGUAUGAACUGUGAAAGGCCCUGGGAGAGCAGAGAGCUGGGAAACACAUUCACCAUGAGGAAAGUUUAGACUGAAAGCAGAACAACAACAACAUGCCCACAUGCCCUCUCCACUCGCUCUGGAGAAAAACAACCCUCAUCUGCCCCCGGUAGAAACAGCCUCAACAGAUGGGGAAGUGCUGUUUUAGUCAUAACAUGAGGUAAAUAAUAUGGCUGCUGAGGGGCUUUCAGCACAUAUUCUGAGUCCAGUGAGUUGACAGUGGGCGUCAAAAUUGGGCAGGAGUUGAGGCUGUUCAGCUUAACAAGUAUGCACUUAGCAACACUUGCUGCAAUAUCACAAGCUGGGCUGAAUGGGGAUGUUGUUUUUUUAAAGUUAUAGUGUAAUUACACUAUAAUGUUAUCCACCUGAAGUAAUCCCAAAUUGAUAAUCUAUAACUUUGGUUAUUGUAAAUGGUAGGUUUCUCUCCUGCCAUGAUUAUCUCCCAUGUGAAAUCAGCAAUAAAUAAAAUGGUUCCAUAUGGGUCAUUAGAAAACAGUGAUAUCAGAUGGGAAUUUCUGUUGUAUGAAUCUACCUGAGGGUCUGUCACUUAUCUGCACACACCUGAGGCUAAACACAACAGAUGGAUAAUAAACAGACAUAUAAGUUAAUGAUCUGUCUUAUAUAAGCAUUAGGCUGAAUUACUGCCCAACAACACUGCAUUAAAAAAAACAAAAACAUCAUGAGACACGACACCAUGGAGCUGGGACAGAUAUACUCUAAUAUGUUAUUGAUUAUCUCACUGGGAUCUUCAUCAAGAUUAUAUUUUGUUACUUUGGAUUACAUGACCUUGUCACAAACCAUAAAUAUUCCCUUUUAUUGACAAUUUGUUCUAUCGUAGAAAAGGUUUCAGUCGUAGUCAUCUGGACACUGUUUUCAGAAUCAAGACGUUCUCAAUUGUGAAAAUAGUCUGAGAACUCAGAAAUGUAAGCUACUCUGUGUUGCUUAGGCCCUGCCCUCUGGGAGGAGUCUUCCUGAGUGUCUGCUGUUAACCCUGCCUAGUUUCACCUGAAACUGACCUUUUGUUUCCAUGAUGUGUUCCAUCAUGACAAUGUGUUGUACUUAACAGACUUUAACCUGAAUUGUGUGGUUAUCCUUUACAACUAUUAACAAGCAAUACAUUAACACCUAUAAAACAAUUGAUAAGCUCACAACCUUUGUCCUUUAAACAUGGUUGAGUCAUUUGAUCAACUGACUGUGAAACCUCCCCUGAACAGUGAUUGCAGUGAACAGCAACAUAGGUGGCAAAAAUUAGCAUGGCUGGCUAACUAGUUAGCUACAGUAUUAACCUAGCAUUACUUCCAAGGUCAGGAGUUAGCAUAUCAUUAGCUAACUACAUUAUCAUUAUGUGGUGUUACUGGUUACUUUAGAAAAAGCCCCUUUCAGGACUGACACAUCCACUGAGGCCACAGACGCUACUAACCACUAUAUCAAAGUUUAGGGUAAUGUUAGCGGCUUUGUCCUGCUCUUUAUUGGAUUUGGGAAAGUUUAUCCGAAAUAGCUUUGCCAAAAAAUCAUCGGAAUGUCCUCAUCCUCAAGUCCUUCUCUCAAGUAAAAGUGAAACAUACUAUAUUGUUGCAAGACACGAAGCGUUAACUAACCUUUGUGUUUUUUGUCAAAGUAACUUAUUAUGUAUUUCUAGAGUAAUCAUAUGAACAUCGUUAUGUUUGAAAAACAGUCUGAUAUUAAAUUUUUUCUUUCAACAUUGUACUUUUAUCCUAACUAGCUACCCUGCAAUACAAGAACAAUGCAGUUUCUUUAUUUCCAUGUCUUCUAUAUGGAUCAUCAACUGGCAUGGAUGCUGUCUUUUUUACCUGGAAAAUACAGCUUUAGCGUCAGUCUUUAGUGCAUCAUUAGCAAAUUAGAAUGGUAUCAUGUAUAUAACCAUCAACUGCAUAUUUAAGACCCUUUUGCAAGUUUUAUCACUUUCAUAUAAGUCAGUGAGAAACAUUAAAAAGUUAGUUAGCUAGCUAACUAAGGCUAAUCAAAUCUGCUAGCUACAGUUGUAAUUUCAACUGGCAAAAUGUAGUUAAAGACGCAUUGUUUCAACAAUGACCAAUUUUGAGUGGUAAAUCUCUCACCAUUAUCAUUAUAAACUGCAUAUGUGCCGUGCUAGAAUGGAAAACUUGACAGGCGUAGCAAUAGUAACUAAUUGAAGCGGGGCUAAGUGAAGUCACACACCCACAUACACACAAAAGCAAUACAUACAGACAGUGUUGUGUCAUAAAAAGUUCUCAGCAAAAAAAGUGAGGAAGUGACAAAAGGAAGCCAGGGGAGAUGAAGAGAUUUGUCAGAGGAGGAAGAGGCAAACUGAGGAAAUCAAACUUGUUGACCACACACACAGCUGAUAACUCUGCCAGUUUCAUUUCUGCAUUAUUGUCAUCAACACCAAAUGUAGAACUGGUAUACACUGGCAUGUGUUCUGCAGCCUCGCUGAUGCAGAUGAAAACGCAAUGCCCGAUUAAGCUAUUGGAUGAAAGGAUUAAAUGAAAUAGAACAGUAGAGCAACAUUGGCUUUAGUUUAUACCCAGAAUACAAUAGCUCAGAGUAUUCCCAUUCUUCCGUAAUAGUAUGAAACACAGUGAUACAGUGCUGUAAGACAGAUAGCCAGAAGACUGGGGCAAUAACAAAACACAUUAAUCACAAAUGGGCCUGACAGACUUGGUUGCUUUGUCCCCAAACACAUAAAAAACAAAAACAUAAAAAGGGAACAAUAAUAACACAGUUAAUUGUUUGCAAGAAUUUUGGGUCUGAUAUGCAAACAAGUCUGGCAUGUUCUGUUCAUAAGAUAUCUUUCUCCCUGCCUUCCUGUAGAGUACAAAAAAAUGGCUCCAACCUGCAGUCUAGGAGCCUCUUUCACAAAGCUCCGAGAACACGCACGGUGACAUAAAGUGCUCUUACACAAGUGUUCAAUAAUGGUAGGAGAAAUAAUGCAGAAAACAGCAUCUGGACCUUACAUUACGCCUGAGGAUGAAUCAAUUUCCUCAGGGCACAAAGGGAGCGGAUGCAGUUUAAGGUGUUAUGUCGCAGACAAACAAAACCUGGUGACAAGCAGGAGGAACCAGCGGGGCCAUUAGUGCCCCCAGACUUAUUGUUCUCUCUCUUUUCCUGUCAGUCAGAGCUGAUGAGAGCCUUUUCAAAGCAAACCAGAAGGGCCUCAUCUACAGUCCUCAGCGGAGCAAUCGGAGAAAGAAUAGACUCGGUGGGUGAAAACAUCACGAACAACAGACGCUACUGCAGCCUUUUGGGAAAUUGUAGUAAUGUAUGAGCGGGAAAUAGAUUCAUUGUCCCACUAAGUGCCAGACAAGCCUCAACCCGAUGCUCUUUGCACAUGUGACAGAAGCUGUUAAACCACAGUUGGCAGUGGCAGCACAAGGUUAGAGAACUGUACAAAUUACCAAAUUCACUGAGUGGCUGACAAAAUGAUUUGAAGAAACUGAAAGGAAAAAAGUUACAAUGCAAGAUAAUUAAUCGUUAAGUGCUCAAGCAGAACUGCGUGACAGCCACUGAAAACUGUGGUUAUACUAGGUAGCCAGCCAGUGUGAAAGUGUGGGGGUUUGAAAGAGACAGUGCAUGCUCAGCAAAACCUCUCUGGAUAAAUAAAGUUAAAGAUAAAAAUCAAAUUACAGCAGCCACCAAUUUCACAUUGUGUUGAUUUGGCAGAGUCUACAACUGUCUAGCAGCAUGUGGUUUCCGUCACUAAUCAAAUCAGAUCCUUGACAGAAUUUACACACUGAAAAUGUUUCUUACCAUGCAGACCUUUCAAGAGUGUUGAAAUUACCUCACAUCAAAAACAGUAAUAUUGUUUCCAAUAUCAGAUAAUUAAAGAUCUCUGGCCAACAGUAUAUCGCUCCUGCAAUCCCAAAACAAGUACACCUAUCGUGGAGAAGUUUUUUGUAUCAUAGCUACAGAAAAUGCAUUAAAAGCCCCUACAACCUUGGUUUCAAAUCCUAAGUAUUUUUCUAGAUUAUUAAAUAGCCGUGACUAAAUAAGCAACCAUCAAAUUUAAAGUUAGGAAAAAAAACAAUUUUUGAGUUUAGCACUCAAAAGCGCAGCUCAUUUGCUUUAUCAGGACUGUGUGGGUGUGGUUUGAUCCAAUUUAAGUGACCGUGCUGGCAAUUUAAGCAAACAACCCACCAACUGUCAACAUAUUCUGAUUGAAAUCCUGAUUGGUGCUUGGAAGUAUGAGACCCCAUGUUUUUCCAACCAAGCCCCGCCCACUCCAAAUCAGUGAGAACACAGACAAAAAACACAAAUACAGAAAUCUCUCAUGUGAAAUACCCAAAACUGUUCCAAUCUUGGCAGAAAACUGUAUGGUAGUGUAUGGUCAUGCAGGGAACCCAUCACUCAUAGCUGAUCGAGAACAUAACUUUUCAGCUAAAAUAAAAUCUA